RNAcentral lists this ribosomal RNA (506 nucleotides) under uncultured bacterium. Its description in RNAcentral is "partial 16S ribosomal RNA". It matches the Rfam family "Bacterial small subunit ribosomal RNA", at positions 30 to 523 of the family's 1533-position model. The record is from RNAcentral.
AUUGAACGCUGGCGGCAGGCUUAACACAUGCAAGUCGAGCGGUAACAGAGAGAAGCUUGCUUCUCUGCUGACGAGCGGCGGACGGGUGAGUAAUGCCUAGGAAUCUGCCUAGUAGUGGGGGAUAACUUGCCGAAAGGUAAGCUAAUACCGCAUACGUCCUACGGGAGAAAGGAGGGGACCUUCGGGCCUUUCGCUAUUAGAUGAGCCUAGGUCGGAUUAGUUAGUUGGUGAGGUAAUGGCUCACCAAGACCGCGAUCCGUAACUGGUCUGAGAGGAUGAUCAGUCACACUGGAACUGAGACACGGUCCAGACUCCUACGGGAGGCAGCAGUGGGGAAUAUUGGACAAUGGAGGGAACCCUGAUCCAGCCAUGCCGCGUGUGUGAAGAAGGUCUUAGGAUUGUAAAGCACUUUAAGUUGGGAGGAGGAGCAGUUAACUAAUAUUUGACUGUUUUGACGUUACCGACAGAAUAAGCACCGGCUAACUUCGUGCCAGCAGCCGCCGUAA